CGAUGGUUCUUGUUUAGGUGAACCCGAACCAUAAAGGCCAGAUGUGAAUAUGUUUCAGGCAUUAGUAGUUGGAUUAUCAGGUGUGGGAACAUGGUGGUUUUGUAGACACAAGUAACCUUCCAAUUAGCUGUACAAGCCAGCAAGUGGACUCCAUGGUGUUCAGGUAAAAACAUUAUAGGUCUUUAAUGCUUUGUUUAUACAUGGCAAAGUUUAGAUCUUACAGUAGGAGUUUGAAUGUGUAAAACAUCACAGGUCGAGAUGAUUAGUUAAACAUAGGCCAUCAUGUCAAAAUUUGUAGUUUUUUUUUGUUUAUGGAAACCAAGUUCUUAAUUGAUUAAUGCACUUGUUCACUAUGGAUA
This is a long non-coding RNA of Helianthus annuus (common sunflower), 359 nucleotides long. RefSeq lists it as uncharacterized. NCBI's taxonomy places the organism in Eukaryota, Viridiplantae, Streptophyta, Magnoliopsida, Asterales, Asteraceae. The transcript is spliced from 2 exons. The record is from RefSeq and is a predicted model, not a curated record.